Pseudophryne corroboree (corroboree frog) is the source of this 372-nucleotide long non-coding RNA. RefSeq lists it as uncharacterized. The transcript has 2 exons. The record is from RefSeq and is a predicted model, not a curated record. Lineage: Eukaryota; Metazoa; Chordata; Amphibia; Anura; Myobatrachidae.
GGUCAGUCCAGAAAACAACACAUCAGAGAGAAGUGACGUGUCGCCCAGAUCAGAACUGUUAAUACUUCUGUAUCAUGGCAGAAUAUAAUAACAAAGGUUGGAAUAAACGUUUCGCAAAACCAACCAGUUUUGGGGAACUGGAAGUUUCUGCGCCCAUUCCACCAGAGAGGAGGGAGUAUAUAGAAAAUCUGAAACGGAAGGCCCAGAGGGAUAGACAAGAAGAGGCCUGCAGAUAUCCCUGCAAGAGAGGGCCAAGAGUUCUCAGCGAACGACUAAAGGAACACCAGAUUGCCUAUUAUUAUGGCUAUACUUUUUAUUAAUUUUUGCCUAUUAUUAUGGCUAUACUUUUUAUUAAUUUUUGCCUAAUCUUAU